GCUGGGUGUGGUGGCUCACACCUGUAAUCCCAGCACUUUGGGAGGCAGAGGCAGGUGGAUCACCUGAGGUCAGGAGUUCAAGACCAGCCUGGCCAACAUGGUGAAACCCUGUCUCUA
Pan troglodytes (chimpanzee) is the source of this 117-nucleotide non-coding RNA. It matches the Rfam family "Metazoan signal recognition particle RNA". Rfam says of the family: The signal recognition particle (SRP) is a universally conserved ribonucleoprotein. It is involved in the co-translational targeting of proteins to membranes. Lineage: Eukaryota; Metazoa; Chordata; Mammalia; Primates; Hominidae. The record is from Rfam.